RNAcentral lists this ribosomal RNA (576 nucleotides) under Hebeloma versipelle. RNAcentral describes it as "eukaryotic LSU rRNA". The stretch from base 236 to 389 matches the Rfam family "5.8S ribosomal RNA". Lineage: Eukaryota; Fungi; Basidiomycota; Agaricomycetes; Agaricales; Hymenogastraceae. The record is from RNAcentral.
GAACUUGGUGUGGUUGUUGCUGGCCCUUUCGGGGGCAUGUGCACACCCAUCAUCAUCAUCUCUCCACCUGUGCACCUCUUGUAGACUUGGAUUGACUUUCCGAGGCAACUCGGUCGGGAGGACUUGCUGGCAUUAGCUGGCUUUCCUUGCAUUUCCAAGUCUAUGUUUUUCAUAUACCCCAUUGAAUGUAAUAGAAUGUAACAUAUUGGGCCUUUGUGCCUAUAAAAACUUAUACAACUUUCAGCAACGGAUCUCUUGGCUCUCGCAUCGAUGAAGAACGCAGCGAAAUGCGAUAAGUAAUGUGAAUUGCAGAAUUCAGUGAAUCAUCGAAUCUUUGAACGCACCUUGCGCUCCUUGGUAUUCCGAGGAGCAUGCCUGUUUGAGUGUCAUUAAAGUCUCAACUAUUAUCAGCUUUUGCUGAUAAUGGCUUGGAUAUGGGGGUUUAUUUUGCUGGCUUCACAGAUUGUCAGCUCCCCUUAAAUGCAUUAGCCGGUGCCCCGCGUGGACUGUCUAUUGGUGUGAUAAUUAUCUACGCCGAAGACAUCUACAAUCAUAUGGGUUUGCUUCUGCUUCCAA